UGACAAGAUGCGACGGACAUGACCUC
This 26-nucleotide non-coding RNA is filed under the name Homo sapiens (human). The record is from RNAcentral. Lineage: Eukaryota; Metazoa; Chordata; Mammalia; Primates; Hominidae.